RNAcentral lists this ribosomal RNA (467 nucleotides) under uncultured bacterium. RNAcentral describes it as "partial 16S ribosomal RNA". It matches the Rfam family "Bacterial small subunit ribosomal RNA", at positions 28 to 506 of the family's 1533-position model. The record is from RNAcentral.
GACGAACGCUGGCGGCGUGCUUAACACAUGCAAGUCGAACGGAAAGGCCCUGCUUUUGUGGGGUGCUCGAGUGGCGAACGGGUGAGUAACACGUGAGUAACCUGCCCUUGACUUUGGGAUAACUUCAGGAAACUGGGGCUAAUACCGGAUAGGAGCUCCUGCUGCAUGGUGGGGGUUGGAAAGUUUCGGCGGUUGGGGAUGGACUCGCGGCUUAUCAGCUUGUUGGUGGGGUAGUGGCUUACCAAGGCUUUGACGGGUAGCCGGCCUGAGAGGGUGACCGGCCACAUGGGGACUGAGAUACGGCCCAGACUCUUACGGGAGGCAGCGGUGGGGAAUAUUGCACAAUGGGCGGAGGCCGGAGGCAGCAACGCCGCGUGCGGGAGGACGGCCUUCGGGUUGUAAACCGCUUUCGCUUGUGACGAAGCGUGGGUGACGGUAAUGGGUAAAGAAGCACCGGCUAACUACGU